Molecule: ribosomal RNA, 468 nt
Filed under: uncultured bacterium
Lineage: Bacteria
Description: partial 16S ribosomal RNA
Rfam family: Bacterial small subunit ribosomal RNA
Source: RNAcentral
GAUGAACGCUGGCGGCGUGCUUAACACAUGCAAGUCGAACGGAAAGGCCAGUGAUUGCAAUGGUACUCGAGUGGCGAAAGGGUGAGUAACACGUGGGUGAUCUGCCCUGCACUUCGGGAUAAGCCUGGGAAACUGGGUCUAAUACCGGAUAGGACAAUGGUAUGGAUGCCGCUGUGGAAAGAUUUUUCGGGUUGGGAUGAGCUGGCGGCCUAUCAGCUUGUUGGGGGGGUAAUGGCCUACCAAGGCGUCGACGGGUAGCCGGCCUGAGAGGGUGUACGGCCGCACUGGGACUGAGAUACGGCCGAGGCACCUACUGGAGGGAGAAGUGGGGAAGAUUGCACGAUGGGCGCAAGCCUGGUGCAGCGACGCUGCGGGGGGGAUGACGGCCUUCGGGUUGUAGACUCCUUGCGCUAGGGACAAAGCGUAUUUGUGACGGUACCUGGAGAAGAAGCGCCGGCUAACUACGUG